AUGGACCCAAAUUACAAGCUCAUGUGGCCUCUAGCACCAGCUCAAGACCACCCUACUUCAAACAGAACAACAGUCACGGCAACCUCUCCGAUCCAGCAGUCUGCAUUUGCCAGCCAGACCGUUCAGAAGCAGUCGAAUGAGCUCAUUCAAAAGAUGCAUCACCAUGAGGCGCACUGUUAAAAGUGCCCCUCAAAGCAUAUGGUAAUAUGGCGCAGACCGCCCAAAAUACUUGGGCCCAUUUUCUGAGCAAACUCCAUCCUACUUAACCGGUGAAUUUCCAUAUGACUAUGGAUGGGACACUGCUGGACUAUCUGCAGACCCCGAGACCUUCGCCAAGAACCGUGAGCUUGAGGUGAUCCACUGCCGAUGGGCCAUGCUUGGUGCAUUAGGCUGUGUCUUCCCAGAAGUCUUGUCCAAGAACGGCAUCAAGUUUGGUGAAGCUGUUUGGUUCAAGGCUGGGUCUCAAAUCUUCUCCGAGGGCGGCCUGGACUACCUAGGCAACCCAAACCUUGUCCAUGCCCAAAGCAUCCUGGCCAUCUGGGCUGUCCAGGUUGUGCUCAUGGGAUUCAUUGAGAGAUACAGAGUUGGUGGAGGACCACUUGGUGAGGGCCUUGACCCACUUUACCCAGGAGGUGCCUUUGAUCCACUUGGACUUGCUGACGAUCCUGAAGCCUUUGCUGAACUGAAGGUGAAGGAAAUCAAGAAUGGGCGGUUGGCAAUGACCUCAAUGUUUGGAUUCUUUGUCCAGGCUAUUGUAACCGGAAAAGGGCCAAUUGAGAACCUCUAUGACCACGUUGCUGAUCCCGUGGCCAACAAUGCAUGGGCAUAUGCCACCAACUUCGUUCCCGCAAAGUGAAGACACCUAAAUUGCUGGCUUUUCAUCU
RNA transcript from Fragaria vesca subsp. vesca, 884 nucleotides. It is a transcript of the gene named chlorophyll a-b binding protein 37, chloroplastic-like, with no coding region annotated. The transcript is spliced from 3 exons. NCBI's taxonomy places the organism in Eukaryota, Viridiplantae, Streptophyta, Magnoliopsida, Rosales, Rosaceae. The record is from RefSeq and is a predicted model, not a curated record.